This 253-nucleotide ribosomal RNA is filed under the name uncultured bacterium. RNAcentral describes it as "partial 16S ribosomal RNA". It matches the Rfam family "Bacterial small subunit ribosomal RNA", at positions 524 to 776 of the family's 1533-position model. The record is from RNAcentral.
UACAGAGGGGGCAAGCGUUGUUCGGAAUUACUGGGCGUAAAGGGCGCGUAGGCGGCCGCUUAAGUCAGCCGUGAAAUCCCUCGGCUUAACCGGGGAACUGCAUCUGAUACUGGAUGGCUUGAGUUCGGGAGAGGGAUGCGGAAUUCCAGGUGUAGCGGUGAAAUGCGUAGAUAUCUGGAGGAACACCGGUGGCGAAGGCGGCAUCCUGGACCGACACUGACGCUGAGGAGCGAAAGCCAGGGGAGCAAACGGG